This 69-nucleotide ribosomal RNA is filed under the name Bironella hollandi. RNAcentral's name for it is "partial 5.8S ribosomal RNA". The record is from RNAcentral. Lineage: Eukaryota; Metazoa; Arthropoda; Insecta; Diptera; Culicidae.
UGUCUCGUUGAACGCAUAUUGCGCGUCGUGUCGGUCAAACGCACGAUGCACACAUCCUUGAGUGCCUAU